This is a non-coding RNA of Echinops telfairi (small Madagascar hedgehog), 65 nucleotides long. NCBI's taxonomy places the organism in Eukaryota, Metazoa, Chordata, Mammalia, Afrosoricida, Tenrecidae. The record is from Rfam.
GCCUUUUCUCCCCAGACUUGCUGGCGUGGGCUACAGAGAAGCCUGCAAGCUCUGAGGGAAAGACC